GGACUACAGGGGUAUCUAAUCCUGUUCGAUACCCGCACUUUCGAGCUUCAGCGUCAGUAGUGCUCCCGUCAGCUGCCUUCGCAAUCGGAGUUCUUCGUCAUAUCUAAGCAUUUCACCGCUACACGACGAAUUCCGCCAACGUUGCGCACACUCAAGCUCUGCAGUUCGCGCUGCAAGUUACCGGUUGAGCCGGCAAAUUUCACAACACGCUUACAAAGCGGCCUACGCUCCCUUUAAACCCAAUAAAUCCGGAUAACGCCCGGACCUUCCGUAUUACCGCGGCUGCUGGCAC
RNAcentral lists this ribosomal RNA (292 nucleotides) under uncultured Bacteroidota bacterium. Its description in RNAcentral is "uncultured Bacteroidetes bacterium partial 16S ribosomal RNA". The record is from RNAcentral. Lineage: Bacteria; Pseudomonadati; Bacteroidota.